RNAcentral lists this ribosomal RNA (903 nucleotides) under uncultured bacterium. Its description in RNAcentral is "bacterial SSU rRNA". It matches the Rfam family "Bacterial small subunit ribosomal RNA", at positions 8 to 934 of the family's 1533-position model. The record is from RNAcentral.
AGAGUUUGAUCCUGGCUCAGGACGAACGCUGGCGGCGUGCUUAACACAUGCAAGUCGAGCGAUGAAACACCUUCGGGUGUGAAUUAGCGGCGAACGGGUGAGGAACACGUGAAGAAUCUGCCUUCAACUCUGGGAUAACUCCGGGAAACCGGGGCUAAUACCGGAUAUGAGCCUUGAUCGCAUGAUCGGGGCUGGAAAGUUUUUCGGUUGAAGAUGACUUCGCGGCCUAUCAGCUUGUUGGUGAGGUAAUGGCUCACCAAGGCGACGACGGGUAGCCGGCCUGAGAGGGCGACCGGCCACACUGGGACUGAGACACGGCCCAGACUCCUACGGGAGGCAGCAGUGGGGAAUAUUGGGCAAUGGAGGAAACUCUGACCCAGCGACGCCGCGUGAGGGAUGAAGGCCUUCGGGUUGUAAACCACUUUCAGUAGGGAAGAAGCGAAAGUGACGGUACCUACAGAAGAAGCACCGGCUAACUAUGUGCCAGCAGCCGCGGUAAUACAUAGGGUGCAAGCGUUGUCCGGAAUUAUUGGGCGUAAAGAGCUCGUAGGUGGUUCGAUACGUCGGAUGUGAAAAUCAGGGGCUCAACCCCUGACCUGCAUCCGAUACGGUCGAGCUAGAGUUUGGUAGGGGAGACUGGAAUUCCUGGUGUAGCGGUGGAAUGCGCAGAUAUCAGAGGAACACCGAUGGCGAAAGCAGGUCUCUGGGCCAUACUGACACUGAGAGCGAAAGCGUGGGGAGCGAACAGGAUUAGAUACCCUGGUAGUCACGCCGUAAACGUGGGCGCUAGUUGUGCGAACCUUCCACGGUUGUGCGACGCAGCUAACGCAUUAAGCGCCCCGCUGGGGAGUACGAUCGCAAGAUUAAAACUCNAGGAAUUGACGGGUCCUCGCACCAGCAGCG